GCUGUGUGUGGUGGCACACACCUGUGAUCCAGUGACUCGGGAGGCUGAGGCAGGAGGAUCACAUGUUCAAGGCCAGCCUGAGCAACUUAGUGAGACCCUGUCUCAA
Molecule: small RNA, 106 nt
Filed under: Marmota monax (woodchuck)
Lineage: Eukaryota; Metazoa; Chordata; Mammalia; Rodentia; Sciuridae
Source: RNAcentral